GUGGAAUCUUGCAGCUGGGGUACGUCAGUGAGUUGUGCAGGUGUACGUCAUAUGGGCUAUACAUGAGAGGAGGUCAUACGUCAUAUGGGCUAUACAUGAGAGGGGGUCAUACGUCAUAUGGGCUAUACAUGAGAGGGGGUGAUACGUCAUAUGGGCUAUACAUGAGAGGGGGUGAUACGUCAUAUGGGCUAUACAUGAGAGGGGGUGAUACGUCAUAUGGGCUAUACAUGAGAGGGGGUGAUACGUCAUAUGGGCUAUACAUGAGAGGGGGUGAUACGUCAUAUGGGCUAUACAUGAGAGGGGGUCAUACGUCAUAUGGGCUAUACAUGAGAGGGGGUGAUACGUCAUAUGGGCUAUACAUGAGAGGAGGUGAUACGUCAUAUGGGCUAUACAUGAGAGGAGGUGAUACGUCAUAUGGGCUAUACAUGAGAGGGGGUCAUACGUCAUAUGGGCUAUACAUGAGAGGAGGUGAUACGUCAUAUGGGCUAUACAUGAGAGGAGGUGAUACGUCAUAUGGGCUAUACAUGAGAGGAGGUGAUACGUCAUAUGGGCUAUACA
This is a long non-coding RNA of Brienomyrus brachyistius, 558 nucleotides long. RefSeq lists it as uncharacterized. The transcript has 4 exons. The record is from RefSeq and is a predicted model, not a curated record. Lineage: Eukaryota; Metazoa; Chordata; Actinopteri; Osteoglossiformes; Mormyridae.